GUAGGGAAUAUUGGACAAUGGGUGCGAGCCUGAUCCAGCCAUGCCGCGUGCAGGAAGACGGCCUUCUGGGUUGUAAACUGCUUUUGCCAGGGGAUAAAAAGUCCCUGCGGGGAAAAUUGAAGGUACCUGGUGAAUAAGCCACGGCUAACUACGUGCCAGCAGCCGCGGUAAUACGUAGGUGGCAAGCGUUGUCCGGAUUUAUUGGGUUUAAAGGGUGCGUAGGCGGUCCAUUAAGUCAGUGGUGAAAUACGGCAGCUUAACUGUCGAGGUGCCAUUGAUACUGGAGGACUUGAGUACAGACGAGGUAGGCGGAAUUGACGGUGUAGCGGUGAAAUGCUUAGAUAUCGUCAAGAACACCGAUAGCGAAGGCAGCUUACUAGACUGUAACUGACGCUGAGGCACGAAAGUGUGGGGAUCAAACAGGAUUAGAAACCCCAGUAGUCC
This 444-nucleotide ribosomal RNA is filed under the name uncultured bacterium. RNAcentral describes it as "bacterial SSU rRNA". It matches the Rfam family "Bacterial small subunit ribosomal RNA", at positions 354 to 796 of the family's 1533-position model. The record is from RNAcentral.